GGGACGCAGUCACAGUAACCACCCUUUGAGCCUCACCAGAAGGAAGCACAUAAUAAUAGCAAGAGACUGUAAGACGUACGAUACGAUACUCGAAAGCACCAUUUCAAUAACUGAGCUGAAAUUUACAACCACAGAGCCACAAGCAAACCUCAUAUACGCCCUGGACCAGUCUAUCGCAAUCCCCCAACCACACACCAUACUUCUCUCGUCAUGAUCGUUGUUGACCCAUAUUAUUGCCAGCACCAUAACAGAUUUUUUACCCGCGAGGAACUCGAAGAACACCAGAAGGCAUGCAAUGGACCAUACUUCAUGUCCAAGGAAUUCCGGCGGCCUCCGGAGGUUGGAACGCCUUAACUAACAGAUACAUAGCUGCCCAGACUGUCGCCGACACAUACUGCAGUACAGUACCUGUACUUGUAACAUAGUGCACGUCAUCAGUUUCUACUGCUGUUACCGUCUUAACAUAAAAAUAUAAUAGUUAUAAUCUA
This 488-nucleotide unclassified non-coding RNA is filed under the name Yarrowia lipolytica. The record is from RNAcentral. Lineage: Eukaryota; Fungi; Ascomycota; Dipodascomycetes; Dipodascales.